RNAcentral lists this transfer RNA (79 nucleotides) under Candidatus Saccharimonadota bacterium. RNAcentral describes it as "tRNA-Val". It matches the Rfam family "tRNA". From Rfam's summary of the family: Transfer RNA (tRNA) molecules are approximately 80 nucleotides in length. Their secondary structure includes four short double-helical elements and three loops (D, anti-codon, and T loops). The record is from RNAcentral. Lineage: Bacteria; Candidatus Saccharimonadota.
GGGCACAUAGCUCAGUUGGCAAGAGCGCCUGAUUGACGUUCAGGAGGUUUCGGGGGUUCGAGUCCCUCUGUGCCCACCA